GUGCCAGCCGCCGCGGUAAUACCGGCAGCCCAAGUGAUGGCCACUCUUAUUGGGCCUAAAGCGUCCGUAGCCGGCCUCGCAAGUCCGUCGGGAAAUCCAGUAGCUCAACUACUGGGCGUCCGGCGGAAACUACAAGGCUUGGGACCGGAAGGCUCGAGGGGUACGUCCGGGGUAGGAGUGAAAUCCCGUAAUCCCGCACGGACCACCGAUGGCGAAAGCACUUCGAGAAAACGGAUCCGACAGUGAGGGACGAAAGCCAGGGUCUCCAACCGGAUUAGAUACCCGGGUAGUCC
This 293-nucleotide ribosomal RNA is filed under the name uncultured bacterium. RNAcentral's name for it is "partial 16S ribosomal RNA". It matches the Rfam family "Archaeal small subunit ribosomal RNA", at positions 455 to 747 of the family's 1478-position model. The record is from RNAcentral.